This 373-nucleotide ribosomal RNA is filed under the name uncultured bacterium. Its description in RNAcentral is "bacterial SSU rRNA". It matches the Rfam family "Bacterial small subunit ribosomal RNA", at positions 521 to 896 of the family's 1533-position model. The record is from RNAcentral.
UAAUACGGAGGGUGCAAGCGUUAUCCGGAUUCACUGGGUUUAAAGGGUGCGUAGGUGGGCUAGUAAGUCCGUGGUGAAAUCUCCAAGCUUAACUUGGAAACUGCCGUGGAUACUAUUAGUCUUGAAUAUUGUGGAGGUAAGCGGAAUAUGUCAUGUAGCGGUGAAAUGCUUAGAUAUGACAUAGAACACCGAUAGCGAAGGCAGCUUGCUACACAAUCAUUGACACUGAGGCACGAAAGCGUGGGGAUCAAACAGGAUUAGAUACCCUGGUAGUCCACGCCCUAAACGAUGGAUACUCGACAUACGCGAUACACAGUGUGUGUCUGAGCGAAAGCAUUAAGUAUCCCACCUGGGAAGUACGAUCGCAAGAUUG